CCAGGGCUUCUCUGCAGUCCCGGCCCUGGUUAGGAAGCCCUAAAUCCUCUGGGUCUUCAGUGAGGCAUGCUGGAAUCUCCAAAGAGCAACACUCCUAACAAAACCUAAAGGAAGGUCUCAGUGUACUGUUAUCAUGAUCAUUCCAGGUGCCAAGAUGCCCAGCACCCCAGCAGCAAGCCCUCUGGAUGCACUUACCCUGGUCUGCUCGUGAAGGCAACUGAGGCGCCACAGAGGGAUUCCUGCUUUCAGCCUAAGGGCAAUAUUGCAGCACCAGGCCUGAUGAGUCUUAUCCCUCCCAUGGAGCCAAUCUAAGG
RNAcentral lists this long non-coding RNA (314 nucleotides) under Cyanistes caeruleus (blue tit). RNAcentral's name for it is "lncRNA (ENSCCEG00000010415.1)". The record is from RNAcentral. Lineage: Eukaryota; Metazoa; Chordata; Aves; Passeriformes; Paridae.